GGAAAUGUGGCUUAGUGGUAGAGUGCUUGCCUAGCAUGCAUGAAGCCCUGGGUUCCAUUCCUCAGUGCCA
RNAcentral lists this transfer RNA (70 nucleotides) under Dipodomys ordii (Ord's kangaroo rat). It matches the Rfam family "tRNA". Rfam says of the family: Transfer RNA (tRNA) molecules are approximately 80 nucleotides in length. Their secondary structure includes four short double-helical elements and three loops (D, anti-codon, and T loops). The record is from Rfam by way of RNAcentral. Lineage: Eukaryota; Metazoa; Chordata; Mammalia; Rodentia; Heteromyidae.